UCAGUUUUGGGGCACCCUCUGUGAAAAAAAAAAAACAGAAAUAAAAAAAAAAGAGGUGCGCCCUCUCCACCUUGCCUCUGUUCUUUCGAUUUUUCCUUGUUACCAGCAACUCUUGUUACGUGUUUGGCACUAUCUUUCAACUUUGCAUUAUUGUUUGAUUGUGCUAAUCCUUCAUUUGAGUGCAGCCUUCCCAGAACUCCAC
Molecule: long non-coding RNA, 202 nt
Filed under: Setaria italica (foxtail millet)
Lineage: Eukaryota; Viridiplantae; Streptophyta; Magnoliopsida; Poales; Poaceae
Description: long non-coding RNA (SITA_LNC003724)
Source: RNAcentral